ACCACGUCCGGCAGGCUUAUCUUUGAGAAAGCAUAUGACUACGGGCAGGAUCAACCAGGUAGCAUUCCACUUUGCUGCCGGCUCCGCAUGAGCAAGGGACGGAUACCAUCCUUUAGUCAAUGCAGGGCACGACAGGCUUCCGUAAGGGACAAUAAUUUCGGGCAUAAAAGGGGCAGAUACCCCAAGCCGAACAUGUUUCCACAUACAAGACUUCGAGCGACACAUGGGUAUCCGCUGGCUGCUAGCUUAAAUGGCAAAGCAAGGACAGACAUCCAGGUGAGCUUCAAGGUCUACCUCGCACCAAACAAUUAUGCCGAGAUAGAGGUGUGACUGUGAGACUUGAGAAUUCCGUCAAAAUAGGUAUGAUGCACAGGGGACAAGGCCAACCCAAGGCUAAAUAUUUAGCACUCGGGCAGAAUUGAACAGGUUUGAACAAGCGAUUGUCGCUGCCAAGGCAGGGAACCAACCGACCGGAACAAACCAAUCACCACUCACACGCCCAUGAG
Molecule: unclassified non-coding RNA, 506 nt
Filed under: Apium graveolens
Lineage: Eukaryota; Viridiplantae; Streptophyta; Magnoliopsida; Apiales; Apiaceae
Description: partial external transcribed spacer
Source: RNAcentral